GUGCCUGCAGCCGCGGUAAUACCGGCAGCCCGAGUGAUGGCCGAUCUUAUUGGGCCUAAAGCGUCCGUAGCUGGCCGCGCAAGUCCAUCGGGAAAUCCACCUGCUCAACAGGUGGGCGCCCGGUGGAAACUGUGCGGCUUGGGACCGGAAGGCGCGACGGGUACGUCCGGGGUAGGAGUGAAAUCCCGUAAUCCUGGACGGACCACCGAUGGCGAAAGCACUUCGAGAAAACGGAUCCGACAAUGAGGGACGAAAGCCAGGGUCUCCAACCGGAUUAGAAACCCCAGUAGUCC
Molecule: ribosomal RNA, 293 nt
Filed under: uncultured bacterium
Lineage: Bacteria
Description: partial 16S ribosomal RNA
Rfam family: Archaeal small subunit ribosomal RNA
Source: RNAcentral